This is a long non-coding RNA of Acinonyx jubatus (cheetah), 1743 nucleotides long. RefSeq lists it as uncharacterized. NCBI's taxonomy places the organism in Eukaryota, Metazoa, Chordata, Mammalia, Carnivora, Felidae. The record is from RefSeq and is a predicted model, not a curated record. The transcript has 4 exons.
GAGCACAGGCUCUUCAUCAAAAAGGUCUAGCAGUGAGUCCUCUGGUCAUCAUUUGUAAUAGCUCCUGAAAUGAGUUGGAAAACUUUAAUCAAGUUACUGCUUUAUUUUCAGCUUCUGUUAUCUUUUGAACUCCAGCGGGUUGGGGGAUGGGUUAACCAGCAGUGCAGACUUUUUCUAAAGAGCCUUUGUCUCUCUGCCCAGGUAUUAAGUUGGUGGUGUAACAAUCAUAGGUACAUUUGGUUCACUCCCCCCCGCCCCCCCAAACCGAGUGCCGUCCUGGGUCUGAAUGUGGGCCUGUGUUCUCCCGGUCCACCGUCCUCAGGCCUGCACAGGGGACUGAAAGAGAAUGGGCCACAGGAAUGCACCCAGAACAGAGCCAAAUUGUUCAAGCUGCGUGAAGAAGAAAGAAAAAACGAGUUGGGGGGGUAGUUGGGAGAAGAAGAAAAGGUUUCCUUGUUGGUUCGAUUUCUCUGGAGAUAUCUGGAGGAUAACACGGCAAAUUUUUUUUAGGAGGGGCACCAGGGAGCAAAAACUAGAGAGCCGGGUUUUAUCGGCACAGCGGCCCAUACAGAGAGGUGACAUUGGAGAGAACAAUUGCUAGGUUGUUUGGUCACAUUUGCUGGUAUGAAUGAAGCUUAAGAAAAGCUGUCUUUGGAUUGCUACUAAUAGUCAUCUUCAACAUGCCUGCUCCCUCUCUCUCUCUCUCUCUCUCUUUCUCGGUUCCCUUAUGAAAUAAGGGCACACUGGUAAUAAACAAAGCACUAUAAAAGAUCAGAUUGACGUAUUCCGUGGGCUCAUUCAAUGCCGGGAGCGAGGCUUCUGCACACCGUCGCUGGUGCUUUCGGCUCCAAAAGCUGGGCGGGGACGGAGAGAUGGUGGUGGGAUGAGGCUAGACCCCCUUCUCCCUUUCUGGAACCUUGCCGAAUCCAUCAGGGCCGUGUCCCUGGUCAGCUAACCCACACCUGACGGCUAAGGGACACAGGAAAAGAUGGCAGAGUAGAGACCCUUGGAUUUGCUCCUUUGGAUUUUGGAUUUUGACCUGAGUCCCUUUGUCAGUCCUCAUGCCAGACCCAGUGGUCAAAGAAGUUGGAGACUCAACGGCUGUUUCUUUUUCCUUCAUUUUUCAAACAAAGAAGCUUCAUGAGAACAUUAAGCCCCAAAGAGAAUUGUGUUCAUUGCAAGACUUGUCAAGGAUCGGUGGAGAGAUUUAUAUAAACAAAUCAUUCAGUUCUUCCUUUGGUGACCUUGGUCCUGAGAGUGAAUGCGAUGGUCCUACAGCUUUUUGGCCCUUCAUCAGUACAGAAGCUGCAGUCUGUGCUCAGCAAGACCUCACCAAAUGCAGGAAAAUUAAAGAGAGAAAUGGUCCAUGGCGUAUUCUUACCCACCAUAAAUUGGCGUCAUUUUGGCCACCAUCCAGGGGAGAGAAACCAGCCUCCUGAAACAGAGAAAAAAGAUCAGAAGCUGCUGUAAGGAAGGGAGAUGCAACUUUCCUGGGAAAGAAUUAUCCUUUGCUCCAUUGCUCAGUCAUUCAACAAACACCACCCAGGACAUACAUCGAGUGGAAUAAGGCCUAACACUGUCUUUCAGAGGCAGCUUUUAGGGUCAGCCUUCACAAACAGUGGCUCAACAUCUCUACAGUGUCAGCCCAGCCCCGGGCUUCUGCCUCGACCAACCCAUGAUGACCAGGCAUGUGACCUGUCCCCAGCCGGCUGGGACACGCUGCUCCUGCCAUUAUUUCUAAAG